AGUCAAUAGAUACCCGGGUAGUCCACGCCGUAAACGAUGAGUACUAGGUGUAGGAGGUAUCGACUCCUUCUGUGCCGCAGUUAAACACAAUAAGUACUCCGCCUGGGAAGUACGGUCGCAAGAUUAAAACUCAAAGGAAUUGACGGGGGCCCGCACAAGCAGCGGAGCAUGUGGUUUAAUUCGAAGCAACGCGAAGAACCUUACCUAGACUUGACAUCUCCUGAAUAGCGCAGAGAUGCGUGAAGCCCUUCGGGGCAGGAAGACAGGUGGUGCAUGGUUGUCGUCAGCUCGUGUCGUGAGAUGUUGGGUUAAGUCCCGNAACGAGCGCAACCCCUAUUAUUAGUUGCUACCAUUAACGUUGAGCACUCUAAUGAGACCGCCGGUUAACCGG
RNAcentral lists this ribosomal RNA (391 nucleotides) under uncultured bacterium. RNAcentral's name for it is "bacterial SSU rRNA". It matches the Rfam family "Bacterial small subunit ribosomal RNA", at positions 775 to 1166 of the family's 1533-position model. The record is from RNAcentral.